UCUCAUUUCCAGAGGAAAAGGUGGAGCCAGAGUUCAUCAUAUUUCUCUAUCAGCUGAUUGAAGGCGCAGCUGCCAGAAGCUAUGAGCUAAGUGUAGCAUGUCUGGCUGAAAUCCCAGUCCAUCCUCAGGACUGCUGCAUUCAAAUCCAAAGAGUUGGAGGCUCUCGUGAACAGCCGGAGACAUACAGUAGUAAAAUGGUGAGAGUGUUAUCUGAUGCCUGGAGUAUUAUCAACAAGAAGCAAUGCUGGACUGGAGAAAGUGUAGUCUCUAAUAAUAGCAUGAUGGUUUUUGCCUGUUUGAUGAUGGUCGGAAAAAAACAUUAAACAAACAGGAACUGAAUAUCACGUAUUUAAAUACAUAAUGUAUUACAUCACCUGUUUUAACAUUAACUCAUAACAGUAGAUCUUACAACUAUGAGUGAUGUCUUAAUAAAGACAUUUAUCCAGG
Long non-coding RNA from Carassius auratus (goldfish), 447 nucleotides. RefSeq lists it as uncharacterized. The transcript is spliced from 2 exons. The record is from RefSeq and is a predicted model, not a curated record. NCBI's taxonomy places the organism in Eukaryota, Metazoa, Chordata, Actinopteri, Cypriniformes, Cyprinidae.